UACGUAGGGUGCAAGCGUUGUCCGGAAUUAUUGGGCGUAAAGAGCUCGUAGGCGGUUUGUCGCGUCUGCUGUGAAAACUCGGGGCUCAACCUCGAGCUGUCGGCGGAAACCAUUUGGCUAGAGUACGGAAGAGGAGAGUGGAAUUCCUGGUGUAGCGGUGAAAUGCGCAGAUAUCAGGAAGAACACCUAUGGCGAAGGCAGCUCUCUGGGACGGUACUGACGCUGAGACGCGAAAGCGUGGGGAGCGAACAGG
Molecule: ribosomal RNA, 253 nt
Filed under: uncultured bacterium
Lineage: Bacteria
Description: partial 16S ribosomal RNA
Rfam family: Bacterial small subunit ribosomal RNA
Source: RNAcentral